AGAGAUGCACUGGGUAUAAAGGGUGCGCAGGCGGUUUUGUAAGACAGAGGUGAAAUCCCCGGGCUCAACCUGGGAACUGCCUUUGUGACUGCAAGGCUGGAGUGCGGCAGAGGGGGAUGGAAUUCCGCGUGUAGCAGUGAAAUGCGUAGAUAUGCGGAGGAACACCGAUGGCGAAGGCAAUCCCCUGGGCCUGCACUGACGCUCAUGCACGAAAGCGUGGGGAGCAAACA
Molecule: ribosomal RNA, 230 nt
Filed under: uncultured Alicycliphilus sp.
Lineage: Bacteria; Pseudomonadati; Pseudomonadota; Betaproteobacteria; Burkholderiales; Comamonadaceae
Description: partial 16S ribosomal RNA
Rfam family: Bacterial small subunit ribosomal RNA
Source: RNAcentral